GAUGAACGCUGGCGGCGUGCCUAAUACAUGCAAGUCGAGCGAACAGACGAGGAGCUUGCUCCUCUGACGUUAGCGGCGGACGGGUGAGUAACACGUGGAUAACCUACCUAUAAGACUGGGAUAACUUCGGGAAACCGGAGCUAAUACCGGAUAAUAUAUUGAACCGCAUGGUUCAAUAGUGAAAGACGGUUUUGCUGUCACUUAUAGAUGGAUCCGCGCCGCAUUAGCUAGUUGGUAAGGUAACGGCUUACCAAGGCAACGAUGCGUAGCCGACCUGAGAGGGGGAUCGGCCGCACUGGAACUGAGACACGGUCCAGACUCCUACGGGAGGCAGCAGUAGGGAAUCUUCCGCAAUGGGCGAAAGCCUGACGGAGCGACGCCGCGUGAGUGAUGAAGGUCUUCGGAUCGUAAUACUCUGUUAUUAGGGAAGAACAAAUGUGUAAGUAACUAUGCACGUCUUGACGGUACCUAAUCAGAAAGCCACGGCUAACUACGUG
RNAcentral lists this ribosomal RNA (497 nucleotides) under uncultured bacterium. RNAcentral describes it as "partial 16S ribosomal RNA". It matches the Rfam family "Bacterial small subunit ribosomal RNA", at positions 28 to 507 of the family's 1533-position model. The record is from RNAcentral.